RNAcentral lists this non-coding RNA (194 nucleotides) under Gemelliphila palaticanis. Its description in RNAcentral is "6S RNA". It matches the Rfam family "6S / SsrS RNA". From Rfam's summary of the family: E. coli 6S RNA was the first non coding RNA to be sequenced, but its function was unknown until recently. It consists of 184 nucleotides that fold into an extended hairpin structure with a large single-stranded internal bulge. The 6S RNA specifically associates with RNA polymerase holoenzyme containing the sigma70 specificity factor. Lineage: Bacteria; Bacillati; Bacillota; Bacilli; Caryophanales; Gemellaceae. The record is from RNAcentral.
UUAUAACUUAAGUACUCGUGUGGCUCAUUUAUAUUCGGGCCUAACACUUUUAAUAAGGGAAUAAGAAUCGUUUAUAAGUAUAGUAUGCUUCUCCUCCUUAUGUGACGAGAAGAACUUAGAACAUAGCGCUAUUAUACCCACCUGAUUAUAUCAGGACCAAUCUUUUUGAGUUUCUACGGUACUUCGGUUUUUAU